RNAcentral lists this ribosomal RNA (695 nucleotides) under uncultured bacterium. RNAcentral describes it as "bacterial SSU rRNA". It matches the Rfam family "Bacterial small subunit ribosomal RNA", at positions 104 to 816 of the family's 1533-position model. The record is from RNAcentral.
GGGUGAGUAACACGUAAGUAACCUGCCCUUAAGUGGGGAAUAACUCUGAGAAAUCGGAGCUAAUACCGCAUGUGGUCCUUCUCACAAUGGGGAAGAACUAAAGCCUUCGGGCGCUUGAGGAGGGGCUUGCGUACGAUUAGCUAGUUGGUGAGGUAACGGCCUACCAAGGCGACGAUCGUUAGUUGGUUUGAGAGGACGACCAGCCACACUGGGACUGAGACACGGCCCAGACUCCUACGGGAGGCAGCAGCAAGGAAUAUUGGACAAUGGGCGAAAGCCUGAUCCAGCGACACCGCGUGGGGGAAGAAGGCCCUCGGGUUGUAAACCCCUUUUCCCGGGGAAGAAUAAUGACGGUACCCGGGGAAUAAGCCCCGGCUAACUACGUGCCAGCAGCCGCGGUAAUACGUAGGGGGCGAGCGUUAUCCGGAUUUACUGGGCGUAAAGCGGGCGUAGGCGGCCUGUCAAGUCAGAUGUGAAAUCUCCCGGCUUAACUGGGAGGGUGCAUUUGAUACUGAUGGGCUAGAGUGCAGCAGAGGGAGGUGGAAUUCCCGGUGUAGUGGUGAAAUGCGUAGAUAUCGGGAGGAACACCAGUGGCGAAGGCGGCCUCCUGGGCUGUUACUGACGCUGAGACCCGAAAGCGUGGGGAGCGAACAGGAUUAGAUACCCUGGUAGUCCACGCCGUAAACGAUGGACAC